Panicum virgatum (switchgrass) is the source of this 1985-nucleotide RNA transcript. It is a transcript of the gene named UDP-glycosyltransferase 75C1-like, with no coding region annotated. Lineage: Eukaryota; Viridiplantae; Streptophyta; Magnoliopsida; Poales; Poaceae. The transcript is spliced from 2 exons. The record is from RefSeq and is a predicted model, not a curated record.
AAUGGUGGGCGGGAGUACUCUCCAAGAGCUGACGUGGCACGGAAGAUUGGAAUCAUGAAACGCGGCAUCUCUCUCACAUGUCCAAUUACCUAUCACUUUUUAAUCAACCAUGGGUUGAGCUAUCACCAUUCGCCUCCAUCAGUCCAUUACUGUCCAACUAACAAAAAAGAUGAAGCAGAAACAAGCGGUUGUCGUAGCCGCCAAGCUGAGACCAUGGCUCCGUAGUCUUUUAUAGACUGUUCGAUCGCUGCAGCUAAGAUCAGCAAAAAUCACUAGACCAGUUCCUCUGUUCCUGCACGAGCUCAAUCAAGCUCGAGGCCAAUGGAGACCCCAGCUCGUCCUCCUCCGCAGCAGAUGCACUUCCUGUUCGUGACCAGCCCGCUGCAGGGCCACAUCAACCCGGUGCGCCGCCUGGCCGCCCGAGUGAUGGCGGCCAAUCCGGACGCGCUCGUCACCUUCUCCACCGCCGUCUCCGGGCACUGCCGCAUGUUCCCCUCCCUGGCGCGCCCCGACGACGAGGCCGUGGACGCCGCGGGCGUGCUGCACGUCCCCUUCUCCGACGGGUUCGACGACGGGUUCAGCUCCGCGGCGCACGGCGCGGGCACCUACAGGGCCCGCGCCAGCUCGGCCGGGCGCGCGACGCUGUCCGCCGCCGUGUCGCGCCUCGCCGCGCGGGGGCGCCCCGUGACGCGCGUGGUGUACACGUUCCUCGUGCCGUGGGUGCCCGACGUCGCGCGCGCGCACGGCGUCCCCGCGGCGCUCUUCUGGAUCCAGCCGGCCGCCGUGCUCGCCGUGUACUACCAUUACUUCCACGGCCACGCCGCGGCCCUCGCCGCGUGCGCGAACGGCGCGGCGGACCCCGGCGCCGCGGCCGCGUGCCUGCCGGGCCUGCCGCCGCUCGAGGCCGGCGCGCUCCCGUCGGCCGUGUCCAUCACCUCGCCGGAGCACAGGCACUACCUGCUGCUCGACCUGCUGCGCGAUCUCUUCCUGUCCCUCGACGAGCACAAGCCCAGGGUGCUCGUCAACACGUUCGACGCCCUGGAGCCCGACGCUCUCCGGGCGGUGCCGCAGCUCGAGGUCGCCGCCGUCGGGCCCGUGGUGCCGGACGACGCGUCCUCCCCGUCAAGCGCGGACCUGGUGCAUCCCCAGGACGCGAAGGUCCCGUACACGGAGUGGCUGGACACGAAGCCAGCGCGGUCUGUGGUGUACGUGUCGUUCGGGAGCGUCCUCUCGAUAAGCAGGCGGCAGGAGGAGGAGAUGCGGCGGGGCCUGGAGGCCACCAGCCGGCCGUACCUGUGGGUGGCGCGCACGGCCGCCGACGGCGGCGCGAGCCCGGACCCGGACAGCAGCAGCGCGCAGGGGCUGGUGGUGGCGUGGUGCGACCAGGUGCGCGUGCUGUCGCACCCGGCGGUGGGCUGCUUCGUGACGCACUGCGGCUGGAACUCGGCGCUGGAGAGCGUGACCCGCGGCGUGCCGAUGGUGGCGGCACCGCAGUGGACGGACCAGCCCACCGUGGCGUGGCUGGUGGAGGCGCGCGCGGGCGCCGGCGUGCGCGCCAGCGUGGACGGCGAGGGCGUGGUCGAGCACGGCGAGCUGCGGCGGUGCGUGGAGGCGGUCAUGGGCGGCGGCGGCGGCGAGGCCGUCCGGGCGCGGUGCGAUCGGUGGAGGGAGCUGGCGCGCGAGGCCGUGGCCCCCGGCGGGACGUCGGAGAGGAAUCUGCGAGCGUUCGCGUCGGCUGGGGCUGUGGACGGCGCCUGAUCGACGAGGUGAGCCCGCCGGCGACGUCGCGCCUCGAGAUGGUGUGACAAUUGCGCAUCUGACGUGCGAUGACACUUGCACUGUUGACAACAGCCGACCGAGAUCAGGCUUUCGAGUUCGCGAGCUGCGAGCGAGUUCAGUGGAAAAUCCAGGCCAGAUGCAUGUCAGAGAUUCUUCAACUCCGGAACGUUCAUGUGGGCAUGUGCGGAUUGCCUUGCUCCAUCGGC